This 1036-nucleotide long non-coding RNA is filed under the name Homo sapiens (human). RNAcentral's name for it is "HSALNT0180394". The record is from RNAcentral. Lineage: Eukaryota; Metazoa; Chordata; Mammalia; Primates; Hominidae.
CAGAGACUCUCCAACAUGUGCCUUCUGACCAUACAAAUGAAACUUCCAACAGUACUGUGAAACCACCAACUUCAGUUGCCUCAGACUCCAGUAAUACAACGGUCACCACCAUGAAACCUACAGCGGCAUCUAAUACAACAACACCAGGGAUGGUCUCAACAAAUAUGACUUCUACCACCUUAAAGUCUACACCCAAAACAACAAGUGUUUCACAGAACACAUCUCAGAUAUCAACAUCCACAAUGACCGUAACCCACAAUAGUUCAGUGACAUCUGCUGCUUCAUCAGUAACAAUCACAACAACUAUGCAUUCUGAAGCAAAGAAAGGAUCAAAAUUUGAUACUGGGAGCUUUGUUGGUGGUAUUGUAUUAACGCUGGGAGUUUUAUCUAUUCUUUACAUUGGAUGCAAAAUGUAUUACUCAAGAAGAGGCAUUCGGUAUCGAACCAUAGAUGAACAUGAUGCCAUCAUUUAAGGAAAUCCAUGGACCAAGGAUGGAAUACAGAUUGAUGCUGCCCUAUCAAUUAAUUUUGGUUUAUUAAUAGUUUAAAACAAUAUUCUCUUUUUGAAAAUAGUAUAAACAGGCCAUGCAUAUAAUGUACAGUGUAUUACGUAAAUAUGUAAAGAUUCUUCAAGGUAACAAGGGUUUGGGUUUUGAAAUAAACAUCUGGAUCCUUAUAGACCGUUCAUACAAUGGUUUUAGCAAGUUCAUAGUAAGACAAACAAGUCCUAUCUUUUUUUUUUUGGCUGGGGUGGGGGCAUUGGUCACAUAUGACCAGUAAUUGAAAGACGUCAUCACUGAAAGACAGAAUGCCAUCUGGGCAUACAAAUAAGAAGUUUGUCACAGCACUCAGGAUUUUGGGUAUCUUUUGUAGCUCACAUAAAGAACUUCAGUGCUUUUCAGAGCUGGAUAUAUCUUAAUUACUAAUGCCACACAGAAAUUAUACAAUCAAACUAGAUCUGAAGCAUAAUUUAAGAAAAACAUCAACAUUUUUUGUGCUUUAAACUGUAGUAGUUGGUCUAGAAACAAAAUACUCC